GAACUGCGAUAAGUAAUGUGAAUUGCAGAAUUCAGUGAAUCAUCGAGUCUUUGAACGCACAUUGCGCCCCCUGGCAUUCCUGGGGGCAUGCCUGUCCGAGCGUCAUUGCUGCCCUUCAAGCCCGGCUUGUGUGUUGGGUCGUCGUCCCCUCCGGGGGACGGGCCCGAAAGGCAGCGGCGGCACCGCGUCCGGUCCUCGAGCGUAUGGGGCUUUGUCACCCGCUCGAUAAGGACCGGCCGGGCGCCAGCCGGCGUCUCCAACCUUUUUUUCUCAGGUUGACCUCGGAUCAGGUAGGGAUACCCGCUGAACUUAAGC
RNAcentral lists this unclassified non-coding RNA (315 nucleotides) under plant metagenome. RNAcentral describes it as "partial contains 5.8S ribosomal RNA, internal transcribed spacer 2, and large subunit ribosomal RNA". The stretch from base 1 to 105 matches the Rfam family "5.8S ribosomal RNA", at positions 50 to 154 of the family's 154-position model. The record is from RNAcentral.